GCUUUGACUAAGCAUUGCACGGUGAAUGCCGGCAGUCAGGGAAGGCGAUGAAGGCGUGCUAAUCUGCGAUAAGCGCCGGUAGGUGAUAUGAACCGUUAUAACCAGCGAUACCCGAAUAGAAGCAGUGUGACUCGUCACACUAUCAUUAACUGAAUCCAUAGGUUAAUGAAGGCGAACCGGGAACUGAAACAUCUAAGUACUUACGAGGAAAAGAAAUCAACGAAUUCCCCAGUGGCGGCGAGCGAACGGGGAGGCAGAGCCUGAAUCAGCAUGUGUGUGUUAGUGGAAGCGUGCUGGAAAGGCGCGCGAUACAGGGUGACAGCCCCGUACACAAAAGCGCAUGUGCUGUGAAGGCUCGAUAGUAGGGCAGGACGUGGUAUCCUGUCACGAAUAUGGGGACCAUCACUCCAAGGCUAAAUACUCCUGACGACCGAUAGUGAACCAGUACCGUGAGGAAAAGGCGAAAAGAACCCCGGCGAGGUGAAAAGAACCUGAAACCGUGUGCGGCCGCAAGCGGUAGAACUGGGAUUUACCUGUGUGACUGCGUACCUUUGUAUAAUGGGUCAGCGACUUAUAUUCUGUAGCAGGUUAACCGUAUAGGGGAGCGGAGGAAACCGGAAAGUCUUAACCGGGCGUUAAGUUGCGAGUAUAGACCCGAAACAUUGAUCCCUAGCCAUAGGCAGGUUGAAGGUUGGGUAACACUAACUGGAGGACCGAACCGACUAUGUUGAAAAAUUGUAGCGGGCCUGUGGCUGGGGUGAAAGGCCAAUCAAACCGGGAGAUAGCUGGUUUCUCCCCGAAAGCUGGCCCAGGUAGCGCCUCAUGAAUUCAUCUCCGGGGUAGAGCACUGUUUCAGCUGAGGCCAUCCCGGCUUACCAGCCCGAUGCAGAAACUGCGAUACGGAAAUAUUUAUCACAGGAGACACACGGCAGGUACUAACGUCCGUCGUGAAAAGAGAAACAACGAACCGCCAGCUAAGGUCCCAAAGUCAUGGUUAGAGUAGGGAAACGUGUGGGAAGGCCCGGAACAGCGGGGAAUGUUGGCUUAGAAGCAUGCAUGUUUAAAAGCGUAAUAGCUCACUGGUCGAAAUCGUACGCAGGAAGGAAAGAUAACAACAGAGGCUAAACCAUACGCCAAGCUGCGGCAGCAACGCUGAUACGUUGUUGGUAGGAAGCGUUCUACCAGCAAGCCUGUGAAGGUGUGUCGUGAGAGCAUGCUGGAAGGCCUUAAGUGCGAAUACUGACAUAAAAGUAACGAUAAAGCAGGUAGCGAAAAACCCGCUCGCGAAGACAAGGUUUCUGUCCAGCAUUAAUCGGGGCAGGUGAGUCGACCUAAGGCGGUGAAAAGCGUAGUCGAUAGGGAAACAGGUUAAUAUUCCCGUACUUGGUGUUACCUGCGAGAGGACGGGAAAGGCUACUUGGCCAGGCGGCAAUUUGUCCCGGUACUAAGCGUGUAGGUGUGUGUUCCCGAGUAAAUCAGUUCACUUUAACACUGAGCGUGACGACGAAGGCACUACGGUGCGGCAACAAAUACUUCCUUCAAAGGAAAACACUCUAAAAGCAUCAGGCAACAUCAAAUCUUACCCCAAACCGGCACAGGUAGUCCAGGUAAGAAAUACCGGCGAGAAGGAACUCAGGUGAAAAGGAACUGGGCAAAUGGUGCCGUAACUUCGGGAAGGCACGCUGACACAUAGGUAAGUGAUUUACUCACAGGCACAAAGUCAGUCGAAGAUACCAGCUGGCUGCAACUGUUUAUUAAAAACACAGCACUGUGCAAACACGAAAGUGGACGUAUACGGUGUGACGCCUGCCCGGUGCCGGAAAGGUUGAGUGAUAGGGUCCAGCGCAAGCGAAGCUCUGAUCCGAAGCCCCGGUAAGCGGCGUAACUAUAACAUUGGUCCUAAGGUAGCGAAAUUCCUUGUCAGGUAAGUUCCGACCUGCACGAAUGGCGUAAUGAUGGCGGUAUGCUCCACCAGACUCCAGUGAAAUUGAACUCGCUGUGAUACCGGUGUACCCGCGGCAAGACGGAAAGACCCGUGAACCUUUACUGUAACUGACACUGAACAUUGAGCCUUGAUGUGCAGGAUAGGUGGGGAGGAGGCUUUUGGUGUGGACGCCAGUCUGCAUGGAGCCGACAACGAAAUACCACCCUUUAAUGUUUGAUGUUCUAACGUGGACCCGUGCAGGUUGCGGACGGUGUCUGGUGGAGUAGUUUGAAACUGGUCUCCUCCUAAAAGUAACGGAGCACGAAGGUUGGCUAAUCACGGUCGGACAUCGGAGUUAGUGCAAUGGCAUGGCAGCUUGACUGCGGCGGCCAGGCAGCGCGAGCAGUACUGCUGGUCAUAGCCGUGAUCCGGUGGUUCUGAAUGGAAGGGCCAUCGCUCAACGGAUAAAAGGUACUCCGAGGACCGGCGGCUGAUACCGCCCAGGGGUUUAUAUCGACGGCGGUGUUUUGGCACCUCGAUGUCGGCUCAUCACAUCCUGGGGCUGAAGUAGGUCCCCAGGGUAUGGUAUUCGCCAUUUAAAGUGGUACGCGGCUGGGUUUAGAACGUCGUGAGACAGUUCGGUCCCUAUCUGCCGUGAGCGCUGGGAGGCAGGGGCUGCUCCUAGUACGGAAGGACGGAGUGGACGCACAUCACUGGUGUUCGGGUUGUCGUAUAGCCUGCGGUAGCUAAAUGCGGAAGAAGAUAAGUGCUGAAAGCAUCCUAAGCACGAAACACUGAGAUGAGUUCUCCUGAGACAGAGUCUCCUGAAGGAACGUUGAAGACGACGGCGUUGAUAGGCCGGGUGUGUCGUCUUAUUAAUUAUCUUCAGAGGCGAAACGC
This 2824-nucleotide ribosomal RNA is filed under the name Salmonella enterica subsp. enterica. RNAcentral's name for it is "23S ribosomal RNA". It matches the Rfam family "Bacterial large subunit ribosomal RNA". The record is from RNAcentral. Lineage: Bacteria; Pseudomonadati; Pseudomonadota; Gammaproteobacteria; Enterobacterales; Enterobacteriaceae.